UGCAAGUCGAACGGUAGAGGGGGCAACCCCUUGAGAGUGGCGAACGGGUGAGUAAUGUAUCGGAACGUGCCCAGUCGUGGGGGAUAACGUAGUGAAAAUUACGCUAAUACCGCAUACGAUCUAUGGAUGAAAGCGGGGGAUCGCAAGACCUCGCGCGAUUGGAGCGGCCGAUAUCAGAUUAGGUAGUUGGUGGGGUAAAGGCUCACCAAGCCAACGAUCUGUAGCUGGUCUGAGAGGACGACCAGCCACACUGGAACUGAGACACGGUCCAGACUCCUACGGGAGGCAGCAGUGGGGAAUUUUGGACAAUGGACGCAAGUCUGAUCCAGCCAUUCCGCGUGCAGGACGAAGGCCUUCGGGUUGUAAACUGCUUUUGUACGGAACGAAAAAGCUCUUAUUAAUACUAGGAGUCCAUGACGGUACCGUAAGAAUAAGCACCGGCUAACUACGUGCCAGCAGCCGCGGUAAUACGUAGGGUGCAAGCGUUAAUCGGAAUUACUGGGCGUAAAGCGUGCGCAGGCGGUUAUAUAAGACAGAUGUGAAAUCCCCGAGCUUAACUUGGGAACUGCAUUUGUGACUGUAUAGCUAGAGUACGGCAGAGGGGGAUGGAAUUCCGCGUGUAGCAGUGAAAUGCGUAGAUACGCGGAGGAACACCGAUGGCGAAGGCAAUCCCCUGGGCCUGUACUGACGCUCAUGCACGAAAGCGUGGGGAGCAAACAGGAUUAGAUACCCUGGUAGUCCACGCCCUAAACGAUGUCAACUGGUUGUUGGGUCUUCACUGACUCAGUAACGAAGCUAACGCGUGAAGUUGACCGCCUGGGGAGUACGGCCGCAAGGGUGAAACCCAAAGGAAUUGACGGGGACCCGCACAAGCGGUGGACGAUGUGGUUUAAUUCGAUGCAACGC
This 906-nucleotide ribosomal RNA is filed under the name uncultured bacterium. RNAcentral's name for it is "bacterial SSU rRNA". It matches the Rfam family "Bacterial small subunit ribosomal RNA", at positions 56 to 962 of the family's 1533-position model. The record is from RNAcentral.